AGAGUUUGAUCAUGGCUCAGGAUGAACGCUAGCGGGAGGCUUAACACAUGCAAGUCGAGGGGCAGCACGAGGUAGCAAUACUUUGGUGGCGACCGGCGCACGGGUGAGUAACGCGUAUGUAACCUACCCUGUACAGGGGGAUAGCCCGGAGAAAUCCGGAUUAAUACCCCAUAAAGAUAUGAGGGGGCAUCUUCUUAUAUUUAAAGUUCCGACGGUACGGGAUGGGCAUGCGUAACAUUAGCUAGUUGGUAGGGUAACGGCCUACCAAGGCUGCGAUGUUUAGGGGUCCUGAGAGGGUGAUCCCCCACACUGGUACUGAGACACGGACCAGACUCCUACGGGAGGCAGCAGUGAGGAAUAUUGGUCAAUGGGCGCAAGCCUGAACCAGCCAUCCCGCGUGCAGGAAGAAGGCGCUAUGCGUUGUAAACUGCUUUUGCAGGGGAAGAAUGUUGGCUACGUGUAGUCAAUUGCCGGUACCUUGUGAAUAAGCAUCGGCUAACUCCGUGCCAGCAGCCGCGGUAAUACGGAGGAUGCGAGCGUUAUCCGGAUUUAUUGGGUUUAAAGGGUGCGUAGGCGGACUGGUAAGUCAGUGGUGAAAUACUGCAGCUUAACUGUAGAAUUGCCGUUGAUACUGUCAGUCUUGAGUAUGGUUAAGGUAGGCGGAAUGUGUAAUGUAGCGGUGAAAUGCUUAGAUAUUACACAGAACACCGAUUGCGAAGGCAGCUUACUGAACCAUAACUGACGCUGAGGCACGAAAGCGUGGGGAGCGAACAGGAAUAGAUACCCUGGUAGUCCACGCCGUAAACGAUGAUCACUCGCUGUUAGCGAUACACAGUUAGCGGCUAAGCAAAAGCAUUAAGUGAUCCACCUGGGGGAGUACGGCCGCAAGGCUGAAACUCAAAUGAAUUGACGG
This 913-nucleotide ribosomal RNA is filed under the name uncultured bacterium. RNAcentral describes it as "bacterial SSU rRNA". It matches the Rfam family "Bacterial small subunit ribosomal RNA", at positions 8 to 916 of the family's 1533-position model. The record is from RNAcentral.